RNAcentral lists this ribosomal RNA (444 nucleotides) under uncultured organism. RNAcentral describes it as "partial 16S ribosomal RNA". It matches the Rfam family "Bacterial small subunit ribosomal RNA", at positions 335 to 796 of the family's 1533-position model. The record is from RNAcentral.
ACUCCUGCGGGAGGCAGCAGUGGGGAAUAUUGGACAAUGGGCGCAAGCCUGAUCCAGCCAUGCCGCGUGAGUGAUGAAGGCCCUAGGGUUGUAAAGCUCUUUCACCGGUGAAGAUAAUGACGGUAACCGGAGAAGAAGCCCCGGCUAACUUCGUGCCAGCAGCCGCGGUAAUACGAAGGGGGCUAGCGUUGUUCGGAUUUACUGGGCGUAAAGCGCACGUAGGCGGACUAUUAAGUCAGGGGUGAAAUCCCGGGGCUCAACCCCGGAACUGCCUUUGAUACUGGUAGUCUUGAGUUCGAGAGAGGUGAGUGGAAUUCCGAGUGUAGAGGUGAAAUUCGUAGAUAUUCGGAGGAACACCAGUGGCGAAGGCGGCUCACUGGCUCGAUACUGACGCUGAGGUGCGAAAGCGUGGGGAGCAAACAGGAUUAGAUACCCGGGUAGUCC